GAUGAACGCUGGCGGCGUGCCUAAUACAUGCAAGUCGAGCGAACAGACGAGGAGCUUGCUCCUCUGACGUUAGCGGCGGACGGGUGAGUAACACGUGGAUAACCUACCUAUAAGACUGGGAUAACUUCGGGAAACCGGAGCUAAUACCGGAUAAUAUAUUGAACCGCAUGGUUCAAUAGUGAAAGGCGGUUUUGCUGUCACUUAUAGAUGGAUCCGCGCCGCAUUAGCUAGUUGGUAAGGUAACGGCUUACCAAGGCAACGAUGCGUAGCCGACCUGAGAGGGUGAUCGGCCACACUGGAACUGAGACACGGCCCAGACUCCUACGGGAGGCAGCAGUAGGGAAUCUUCCGCAAGGGGCGAAAGCCUGACGGAGCACCGCCGCGUGACUGAUGAAGGUCUUCGGAUCGUAAAACUCUGUUAUGAGGGAAGAACAAAUGUGUAAGUAACUAUGCACGUCUCGACGGAACCUAAUCAGAAAGCCACGGCUAACUACGUG
RNAcentral lists this ribosomal RNA (497 nucleotides) under uncultured bacterium. Its description in RNAcentral is "partial 16S ribosomal RNA". It matches the Rfam family "Bacterial small subunit ribosomal RNA", at positions 28 to 507 of the family's 1533-position model. The record is from RNAcentral.